UACGUAGGGGGCAAGCGUUGUUCGGAUUUACUGGGCGUAAAGCGCACGUAGGCGGAUCGUUAAGUCGGGGGUGAAAUCCUGGAGCUCAACUCCAGAACUGCCUUCGAUACUGGCGAUCUUGAGUCCGGAAGAGGUGAGUGGAACUCCUAGUGUAGAGGUGGAAUUCGUAGAUAUCAGGAAGAACACCAGUGGCGAAGGCGGCUCACUGGUCCGGUACUGACGCUGAGGUGCGAAAGCGUGGGGAGCAAACAGG
This 253-nucleotide ribosomal RNA is filed under the name uncultured bacterium. Its description in RNAcentral is "partial 16S ribosomal RNA". It matches the Rfam family "Bacterial small subunit ribosomal RNA", at positions 524 to 776 of the family's 1533-position model. The record is from RNAcentral.